RNAcentral lists this transfer RNA (67 nucleotides) under Anser fabalis (Taiga bean goose). RNAcentral describes it as "tRNA-Phe". Lineage: Eukaryota; Metazoa; Chordata; Aves; Anseriformes; Anatidae. The record is from RNAcentral.
GUCUACAUAACUAACAGCAGGCAUGGCACGGAAGCUGGCAGGAUGACAUCGAACAUGCGGGCGAAAA